GGGCCCGCACAAGCAGCGGAGCAUGUGGUUUAAUUCGAAGCAACGCGAAGAACCUUACCUGGACUUGACAUCUCCUGAAUAGCCUGUAAUUAGGCGAAGCCCUUCGGGGCAGGAAGACAGGUGGUGCAUGGUUGUCGUCAGCUCGUGUCGUGAGAUGUUGGGUUAAGUCCCGCAACGAGCGCAACCCUUAUUGUUAGUUGCUACCAUUCAGUUGAGCACUCUAAUAAGACUGCCCGGGUUAACCGGGAGGAAGGUGGGGAUGACGUCAAAUCAUCAUGCCCCUUAUGUCCAGGGCCACACACGUGCUACAAUGGUAAGUACAAUUAGAUGCAAUACCGCGAGGUGGAGCUAAACUGAAAAACUUAUCCCAGUUCGGAUUGCAGGCUGCAACUCGCCUGCAUGAAGCUGGAGUUGCUAGUAAUCGCGAAUCAGAAUGUCGCGGUGAAUACGUUCCCGGGCCUU
This 462-nucleotide ribosomal RNA is filed under the name uncultured bacterium. RNAcentral describes it as "bacterial SSU rRNA". It matches the Rfam family "Bacterial small subunit ribosomal RNA", at positions 917 to 1382 of the family's 1533-position model. The record is from RNAcentral.